RNAcentral lists this ribosomal RNA (140 nucleotides) under uncultured eukaryote. RNAcentral's name for it is "partial 18S ribosomal RNA". It matches the Rfam family "Eukaryotic small subunit ribosomal RNA", at positions 1299 to 1458 of the family's 1831-position model. The record is from RNAcentral.
UGGUGGAGUGAUUUGUCUGGUUAAUUCCGUUAACGAACGAGACCUCGACCUGCUAAAUAGCAUUCCGAAUUCUCCGGAAUUCGCGAAAGCUUCUUAGAGGGACUCUUGGUGUAAACCAAAGGAAGUUCGAGGCAAUAACA